This 560-nucleotide ribosomal RNA is filed under the name uncultured bacterium. Its description in RNAcentral is "bacterial SSU rRNA". It matches the Rfam family "Bacterial small subunit ribosomal RNA", at positions 73 to 656 of the family's 1533-position model. The record is from RNAcentral.
GCCUAGCUUGCUAAGCUUGUUUUUAGUGGCGCACGGGUGAGUAACACGUGAGUUACCUGCCCCCAAGAGUGGGAUAGCCCCGGGAAACUGGGAUUAAUACCGCAUAAUAUCGCAAGAUUAAAGGUGCAAACCGCUUGGGGAUGGGCUCGCGGCCUAUUAGUUAGUUGGUGAGGUAACGGCUCACCAAGGCGAUGACGGGUAGCCGGUCUGAGAGGAUGUCCGGCCACACUGGAACUGAGACACGGUCCAGACACCUACGGGUGGCAGCAGUCGAGAAUCAUUCACAAUGGGGGAAACCCUGAUGGUGCGACGCCGCGUGGGGGAGCGAAGGUCUUCGGAUUGUAAACCCCUGUCAAGUGGGAGCAAAUUAAAAAGAUAGUACCACUAGAGGAAGAGACGGCUAACUCUGUGCCAGCAGCCGCGGUAAUACAGAGGUCUCAAGCGUUGUUCGGAAUCACUGGGCGUAAAGCGUACGUAGGCGGCUUGGUAAGUCGUGUGUGAAAGGCAGGGGCUCAACCUCUGGACUGCACAUGAUACUGCCAGGCUAGAGUAAUGGAGGG